This is a long non-coding RNA of Homo sapiens (human), 1118 nucleotides long. Ensembl annotates it as long intergenic non-protein coding RNA 494. The record is from Ensembl. Lineage: Eukaryota; Metazoa; Chordata; Mammalia; Primates; Hominidae.
CCUGCUGUUCCUCACCCAGGAUCACCAAGGUCUCUCCUACCCCGGGGCCUGUGCACCUGCUGUGCCUCUGCUUGGGGUGCUCUUCCCAGGGCUUGCCCACCUCCUCAGAGAGGCCUCCUGACCCCUGACACGGCCUUGCCCUUCACCUCUAUCGUCCUUUAGAACAGCCCCCACCUCCCGCACAUCAUGCAGUUGCAGGUUCAAUGGCUACUGCUUGUCCUCCAGACUCCAACCUUCAUGCUUGGUCAAGCAAAGGUGUUGCUUAAGUCAAACCCAGGGCAGGGGAGAGCAGUUGAAGCAAAGUGAGUCUUUGGAGGCCCUGUGGUUGUGGGGUCUGGUGUGGAGACAGUGAGAACGGAAAAGGUGGGAGAGGAGCAGUCAACCCGUGAAUGGCCCCAUUCAGACGCCUUUACCUGGAAGACGUGGCAGGUCUACUGGGGUUCAUCCCAUCUGAGCCAGGCCUGGCUUUUCUUGGCUGCAAGCUGAGAGCUGGGUCCAGGUCUGCUGAACCAAGGUUCUCCCAUCUUCCUUGAGCCAGUGACAAUCAGAGGCCUAUUUCUUUCAUGACGGAAGGCAGGAGAACAAGCAGGCAAGACCAGCUGUGCUAGCACAUGGCACCCCUUUCCCACAUCACACCUGCUAACAUCCCAUUGUUCAAAGCAAGUAACACAACCAAACCCAAUAUCAACAGGACAAGAAAACAGACUCCACCUCUAGGUGCACAAACUACAGAGUCACGGACAGAGAACACAGAUCUAGGGAAGGAAGCUGGAGAAUGAGAACAAUGACCCUCAAUAACACAACCUCCCACAGGUUUCCAAAUCCCCAACCUGAGCAUAUUUCCAAGGAAACGGAAUCAUGGGUUCAGGGUUUUAGAGCAAGCAAUUUCUGCUCUCCCAGCUUAGUUUCCAUACCCUUAACACAGGGGCAAUGACGUCGCAUCGAAUCAUAUCUUAUAAGUCUGUGAUGAUGUUUCAACAACUGAACGCCAGAAAAGUGCUUAGAGCAAGGCCAGGUAGGAGGGACAGAAGCCAAUAAUAAUGAGUAGCAUCACUGUUAACCCGCAAAAUUCUGGGAAUUUCCUCGAAAGUCUAAUUAGAGAAUCAUGUCCCCAACAA